RNA transcript from Eutrema salsugineum, 2262 nucleotides. It is a transcript of the gene named heterogeneous nuclear ribonucleoprotein 1, with no coding region annotated. The record is from RefSeq and is a predicted model, not a curated record. NCBI's taxonomy places the organism in Eukaryota, Viridiplantae, Streptophyta, Magnoliopsida, Brassicales, Brassicaceae. The transcript has 4 exons.
UAGAAAAUAUCAAAUAUUCGUUUUGCUGUCUUCUUUCUUCUUCCUCCUCCUCUCAAAUCGGCCACAGCCAUUUCCUCUCUCUUUCUCGGCAACCUUGAUUCUCUCUCCAAAGCUAAACCCUUUCCGUAAUCUACCGUAGUUUCUGAAGUGGGUUUUCUGUAUUUAUUUGUAUUGAAGGGGAUUUUUCGAUUUCUGGGUCAGAAGAGAAGAAAGGGAGUAAGAGAGUGGUAUUACUAUUACUCAUGGAUUCAGAUCAAGGGAAGCUUUUCGUCGGUGGUAUUUCAUGGGAAACCGACGAAGACAAGCUAAGAGAACAUUUCAGCAGCUUUGGUGAUGUUUCGCAGGCUAUUGUGAUGAGGGACAAGCUCACAGGCCGACCUAGGGGUUUUGGUUUCGUUAUCUUCUCCGAUCCUUCUAUUCUCGAAAGGGUUCUUCAAGAAAAACAUCACAUUGAUACCAGAGAGGUUGAUGUGAAGAGAGCCAUGUCAAGAGAGGAGCAGCAAGUCUCUGGACGAUCUGGUAAUCUUAAUCCAUCUAGAAGUUCUGGAGGUGAUGCUUACAAUAAAACCAAGAAGAUCUUUGUUGGAGGCUUGCCUCCUACUUUGACAGAUGAAGAGUUUCGCCAGUACUUUGAGGUCUAUGGCCCUGUGGCUGAUGUUGUAAUCAUGCAUGACCAGACCACCAACCGUCCUCGCGGGUUUGGAUUUGUUUCCUUCGACUCUGAAGAUGCUGUAGACCGUGUGUUGCACAAGAACUUCCAUGAUUUGAGCGGUAAGCAAGUCGAAGUAAAGCGUGCUCUUCCUAAAGACGCCAAUCCUGGAAGUGCUGGACGGUCCAUGGGUGGUGGUGGCUCUUACCAGGGUUAUGGUGGCAAUGAAAGCAGUUACGAGGGACGUGUGGAUUCCAAUAGGUUUAUGCAGCCACAAAGUGUAGGAAAUGGUUUACCAUCUUAUGGUUCUUCUGGCUAUGGCGCUGGGUAUGGAAAUGGUAGUAACGGUGUCGGGUAUGGUGGCUAUGGAGGUUACACAGGCUCUGCUGGGGGUUAUGGUGCUGGUGCUGGUGCUGCAUACGGAGCAACGAGCAUGCCAGGUGCUGGCUAUGGAGCUAGUACUGGAAUUGCUCCGAGAAACUCAUGGGACGCUCCAGCUCCUAGUGGUUAUGGGAACCCAGGCUAUGGAAACGGUGCUGCUGCUCAGACUGGAUAUGGAGUUCCCGGUGCAGCUCCUUCUGCGCAGUCACCAUCAGGUUAUGGUAACCAAGGUUACGGAUAUGGAGGUGAUUCUGGUUAUGGAAAUCAAGCUGCAUAUGGUGCUGUUGGAGGACGCCCUAGUGGUGGGGGUUCGAACAACCCUGGUAGUGGUGGUGGCUACAUGGGAGGAGGUUAUGGUGAUGGAUUUUGGCGAUCUGACCCGUCACAAGGCUAUGGUGGUCAGGGUCGGCAAGGCCAAUAGUCACUAUCUAAAGUGAUUAUCAAAACUUCAUCAAGGCUUAAGCAGGGAAUAAGGUACUCGAUUAAGAAAGCAGAUGGCGAGCAGAAGUAGAUGGAGCCAUGGAGGACUCAUGUUCAAGGUUGCUUGAGUUCUUAGGUGGAGCAACGACUCAACGAGGUUGAUCUGAGGUUGUGCCUGCUUGGAGUUGAGGUAAUCGCUUAAAGAAUGAAGAGUCAGUCAAGUCACAUUAUCAAGUGGCUUGUCUGUAGUCACGUUAUGUGGCCUAUUAGGUUCUUUUGUUAGGGAUGGGAUUCUUGAGAGUGAAACAAACAUUAGAUAGGCAAAUAUUAUGGAAGCACAAAGGCAGCCACAUUUCUUAAAAACUCAUCCAAUACUAGAUAGACAAAUAAGUGAGAGCUAAUUUAUUUUAUUCUCAAGUCGCUCAUGCAGUGCAACUAUAAGUUUUCUUCUCGUUUAGCUCAGUGGUGUCCAAUCUUGCCACCGCCAAGGCCAAAGCCUUUUCCGAUUUCGCCUCCAAAGCCUUUGCCUAUUCCUCCACCAAAACCACCUCCUUUUCCAAAGCCACCUCCAAAACCACCUCCUUUGCCUAUUCCUCCACCGAAGCCACCGCCUUUUCCAAUACCACCUCCAAAACCACCGCCUUUGCCUAUCCCACCGCCAAAACUACCGCCUUUGCCAAAACCUCCGCCAAUGCCUAUACCGUGUCCACCACCAAAACCGCCUCCAAAGCCCUUUCCACCUCCUAUGAAGGUCUUCUCCUCUUCAUUUUUGCCAAAACUCACACCAUCUCUCGCAGCAACAUUGAUCACCA